Hippocampus comes (tiger tail seahorse) is the source of this 114-nucleotide long non-coding RNA. RefSeq lists it as uncharacterized. NCBI's taxonomy places the organism in Eukaryota, Metazoa, Chordata, Actinopteri, Syngnathiformes, Syngnathidae. The transcript is spliced from 3 exons. The record is from RefSeq and is a predicted model, not a curated record.
AGUCCACAUGUCAGUUAAUGUCGGGCAGAACACUUUUACAUUACAAUUCGUUCCUGCUAAUAAUCACCACUAGAUGGCAUAGGAACGCUAAGGGGGAAACAACUCAAUGGGGAA